CCUACGGGGUGCAGCAGUGGGGAAUAUUGGACAAUGGGCGAAAGCCUGAUCCAGCCAUGCCGCGUGUGUGAAGAAGGCCUUCGGGUUGUAAAGCACUUUCAGUGGGGAAGAAAGCCUUGGGGCUAAUACCCUCGAGGAAGGACAUCACCCACAGAAGAAGCACCGGCUAACUCCGUGCCAGCAGCCGCGGUAAUACGGAGGGUGCGAGCGUUAAUCGGAAUUACGGGGCGUAAAGCGCGCGUAGGCGGUCUGAUAAGCCGGUUGUGAAAGCCCCGGGCUCAACCUGGGAACGGCAUCCGGAACUGUCAGGCUAGAGUGCAGGAGAGGAAGGUAGAAUUCCCGGUGUAGCGGUGAAAUGCGUAGAGAUCGGGAGGAAUACCAGUGGCGAAGGCGGCCUUCUGGACUGACACUGACGCUGAGGUGCGAAAGCGUGGGUAGCAAACAGGAUUAGAUACCCCUGUAGUC
RNAcentral lists this ribosomal RNA (465 nucleotides) under Vreelandella stevensii. RNAcentral describes it as "partial 16S ribosomal RNA". It matches the Rfam family "Bacterial small subunit ribosomal RNA", at positions 338 to 795 of the family's 1533-position model. The record is from RNAcentral. Lineage: Bacteria; Pseudomonadati; Pseudomonadota; Gammaproteobacteria; Oceanospirillales; Halomonadaceae.